RNAcentral lists this ribosomal RNA (490 nucleotides) under uncultured bacterium. RNAcentral describes it as "partial 16S ribosomal RNA". It matches the Rfam family "Bacterial small subunit ribosomal RNA", at positions 30 to 507 of the family's 1533-position model. The record is from RNAcentral.
UGACCGCUGGCGGUAGGCCUAACACAUGCACGUCGAACGGCAGCACGGUAAGAGCUUGCUCUUACGGGUGGCGAGUGGCGGACGGGUGAGGAAUACAUCGGAAUCUACUUUUUCGUGGGGGAUAACGUAGGGAAACUUACGCUAAUACCGCAUACGACCUACGGGUGAAAGCAGGGGAUCUUCGGACCUUGCGCGAUUGAAUGAGCCGAUGUCGGAUUAGCUAGUUGGCGGGGUAAAGGCCCACCAAGGCGACGAUCCGUAGCUGGUCUGAGAGGAUGAUCAGCCACACUGGAACUGAGACACGGUCCAGACUCCUACGGGAGGCAGCAGUGGGGAAUAUUGGACAAUGGGCGCAAGCCUGAUCCAGCCAUACCGCGUGGGUGAAGAAGGCCUUCGGGUUGUAAAGCCCUUUUGUUGGGAAAGAAAAGCAGCAGGUUAAUACCCCGCUGUUCUGACGGUACCCAAAGAAUAAGCACCGGCUAACUUCGUG